Molecule: non-coding RNA, 360 nt
Organism: Ochotona curzoniae (black-lipped pika)
Lineage: Eukaryota; Metazoa; Chordata; Mammalia; Lagomorpha; Ochotonidae
Source: the annotation of a RefSeq genome assembly
AUGGACAUGAGGGCCCCUGCUCAGCUCUUGGGGCUGCUGCUGCUCUGGCUCCCAGGUGCCAGAUGUGACGUCCAGAAGACCCAGUCUCCAUCCCUGGUGUCUGCAGCGGUGGGAGACACAGUCACCAUGAAUUGCCAGGUGGAUGAGAGCAUUUACAAAGCUUUAGCCUGGUAUCAGCAGAAGCCAGGGCAAUCUCCGAAGCUCCUGAUCUAUGGUGCAUCCUAUUUACAAUCUGGGGUCCCAUCGAGGUUCAAGGGCAGUGGGACUGGGACUGAGUACACCUUUACCAUCAGUGGUGUGCAGCCUGAAGAUGCUGCCACUUGUUACUGUCAACAAAAUUAUGAUGACCUUCCACAAUGA